Molecule: RNase P RNA, 467 nt
Filed under: Acidobacteriota bacterium
Lineage: Bacteria; Pseudomonadati; Acidobacteriota
Description: RNase P RNA component class A
Rfam family: Bacterial RNase P class A
About the family: Ribonuclease P (RNase P) is a ubiquitous endoribonuclease, found in archaea, bacteria and eukarya as well as chloroplasts and mitochondria.
Source: RNAcentral
GCAGGCGGCCGGGCGAUCGCUGCUGCGCGGGCCGUGAGGCGUUGCGCAGGGGAGGAAAGUCCGAACUCCGCAGGGCAGUGUGCCGGAUAACGUCCGGGGCCCGCUUCUUAAAGAGCGGGUACGGCCAGUGCAACAGAAAGCAAACCGCCUCAGGCUGAGGAGCGACUCGCGCAAGCGGCGUUCCUGCAAACGGCUUGAGGUAAGGGUGAAAGGGUGGGGUAAGAGCCCACCGCGUUGUUAGCAAUAACAACGGCAUGGUAAACCCCACACGGAGCAAGACCAAAUAGGCAGGGAAAUCGCCGCUCCUCUUCAGGCGGCGAUUGCGUGACGGCCCGUCGCGCCCAGGCGAAGAGAGUUCGCAAGAGCUUGCCGGAACCUGCGGGUAGGUUGCUGGAGCGCGUCAGCAAUGACGCGCCUAGAGGAAUGAUCGCUUAGAACAGAAUUCGGCUUACGGGCCGCCUGCGAAA